CAAGUCGAGCGGCAGCGCGGGGGCAACCCUGGCGGCGAGCGGCGUACGGGUGAGUAAUGCAUCGGAACGUGUCCUCUUGUGGGGGAUAACCAGUCGAAAGACUGGCUAAUACCGCAUGAGAUCGCAAGAUGAAAGCAGGGGACCCGCAAGGGCCUUGCGCGAGAGGAGCGGCCGAUGCCCGAUUAGCUAGUUGGCGGGGUAAAAGCCCACCAAGGCGACGAUCGGUAGCUGGUCUGAGAGGACGACCAGCCACACUGGGACUGAGACACGGCCCAGACUCCUACGGGAGGCAGCAGUGGGGAAUUUUGGACAAUGGGGGCAACCCUGAUCCAGCCAUGCCGCGUGUGUGAAGAAGGCCUUCGGGUUGUAAAGCACUUUCGGACGGAACGAAAUCGCGCGAUCUAAUAAGCCGCGUGGAUGACGGUACCGUAAGAAGAAGCACCGGCUAACUACGUGCCAGCAGCCGCGGUAAUACGUAGGGUGCGAGCGUUAAUCGGAAUUACUGGGCGUAAAGUGUGCGCAGGCGGCAGAGCAAGUCGAGUGUGAAAGCCCCGGGCUUAACUUGGGAAUUGCGCUCGAAACUACUUUGCUGGAGUGUGGCAAAGGAAGGUGGAAUCCACGUGUAGCGGUGAAAUGCGUAGAGAUGUGGAGGAACACCAUUGGCGAAGGCAGCCUUCUGGGCCAACACUGACGCUCAUGCACGAAAGCGUGGGAGCAAACAGGAUUAGAUACCCUGGUAGUCCACGCCUAAACGAUGACGACUAGUUGUUGGAGGA
RNAcentral lists this ribosomal RNA (776 nucleotides) under uncultured beta proteobacterium. Its description in RNAcentral is "bacterial SSU rRNA". It matches the Rfam family "Bacterial small subunit ribosomal RNA", at positions 58 to 830 of the family's 1533-position model. Lineage: Bacteria; Pseudomonadati; Pseudomonadota; Betaproteobacteria. The record is from RNAcentral.